ACACUGUACGAGUUUGAUCAUGGCUCAGAACGACGCUGGCGGCAGGCCUAACACAUGCAAGUCGAGCGCCCCGCAAGGGGAGCGGCGGACGGGUGAGUAACGCGUGGGAACGUACCCUUUGCUACGGAAUAGCCUCGGGAAACUGGGAGUAAUACCGUAUGUGCCCUUCGGGGGAAAGAUUUAUCGGCAAAGGAUCGGCCCGCGUUGGAUUAGGUAGUUGGUGGGGUAAUGGCCUACCAAGCCGACGAUCCAUAGCUGGUUUGAGAGGAUGAUCAGCCACACUGGGACUGAGACACGGCCCAGACUCCUACGGGAGGCAGCAGUGGGGAAUCUUAGACAAUGGGCGCAAGCCUGAUCUAGCCAUGCCGCGUGAGCGAUGAAGGCCUCAGGGUUGUAAAGCUCUUUCAGUGGGGAAGAUAAUGACUGUACCCACAGAAGAAGCCCCGGCUAACUCCGUG
This 458-nucleotide ribosomal RNA is filed under the name uncultured bacterium. Its description in RNAcentral is "bacterial SSU rRNA". It matches the Rfam family "Bacterial small subunit ribosomal RNA", at positions 1 to 507 of the family's 1533-position model. The record is from RNAcentral.